Phasianus colchicus (ring-necked pheasant) is the source of this 3268-nucleotide non-coding RNA. Lineage: Eukaryota; Metazoa; Chordata; Aves; Galliformes; Phasianidae. The record is from RefSeq and is a predicted model, not a curated record.
UAAGAAGUUGAAGUGAGAUGACUUAGAAAAGUAUGGCUUUGCUUUUUUUUUUCCUUUUUUUUUUGUGUGUGUGUAAAGGGUCUCUAAGAAAAAAUAAUUUCUUUCCUGCUUCUUUGUCAGGAAUGCCAACAAAGUUUAAAAUGGUACUUUGUCAAUUAAAAUGACUUUACCAUUUCAGGAAGAAAGGCUAACAUUUUCAACCUCAUUAAGCAAAUUCAAAGGAGAGUAAGGAGGUCUUAAUAGACACGAACGUUCACUUGUACUAAAUCCAAUACUUUUAAAGGUCAUCUGCAGCUCCGUCACUAUAGUAAGUAAGUAUUUUGUUUUCACUUCUUUUAUUUUUAACUUUCUGUUCUAAUCUGCAACACUCCUCCUGUGAACUGACCUAUUUACUUUGCUACAGUUUUGCUUUUUGGAUGCAUUUAGAUGCAGCUAGCAGAGCAGUCUGGUUAGACUUCUAUGUUCAAAACCUAACAUUUCUGCUACAGUAUUCUCAAAGUGUUUUUUAUUGCAUGUACAAGUGCAGAUAACACUACAAACUCAAGUGAGCUUUAAUGAUGGCAGGGGUAUUUAGACUGGCCUUCCACUAUCAUCACAAGCUAUUAAAGGCACAGACAGUGUUGGCUGCUCCAAUGAUUAUAAUAAAAGGCUGGUUCAAAGGAACUUGUUUUCUGCUGACAGAAGCUCCAUCCCCAGAAAAACAAUCCGUGAUAGAAUCUUUAAAAGGUAAUUCUGAUGGAUGCGUCUUCAUUGAUCUCUUGAACUAAGAUGAACUCUUCUGUCAUCUGUGGAUUUUCUUUAUUCUAUUUUAUGCCCUCUUUAAAAAUAUGUUUGAGUAAGUUUGGAAAAGUUGUCCCUUGUGUGUGUGUACAAAAGUUGUACGUAGUGCUUUGUACUAGAUGCAGCUGUUUCUGUUACAGGCAUCACUUCUGUUGUGACUUCUGUGAUAUUCUGUACAAUCUAUAUUGCUUAUGUAGCUCUAGUUAUUUAGGCAUAACUGCAUCAAAAGGAAAAAUCAGUGUGUGACUGUACCUUUAAUUGGCACGCUUACUUUCCUGCUGUCAGUACUGGUGUGGCUGAAGUCAUGCAACUAUGUUUAAACAAAAGGGAUGGGAGGCAAGCUGUGUAGUAGUAACUGAUUUCAGCUUUUAUGGUCCAGUACUAAAGGCUGUAUUUAUUAAUAGCUCCACGUUUUUCCUCCCAUGUUGUGGCCAAAUACUAGAUAUUAGCAAGAAGUGGAACACACUAAACUAACAGUAUUAUUUCUCCUCCAUUAUUUCUAGCAACUAGAGUAGUAAACUCUACACUCCUCCUACUUCUGCCAUUAAUAGCAAUUGGAUGUUUUUUUUUCAGAAACUUAACGUGGCCCCUUUUUGAACUUACAUAAACUUCUGGCAUGCACAUCUUUACUGCUAUCAUUUGCAGAAACAAACUGUAACAAAACCACUUAUGUUCUUUUUCACUUAAAAAUCUUUAACUUGGUAACUUAUCUUAAUUUUCUCUAAUUUUAAAGUUUAAUAGGCAACUGGGAACAGUUGCAUUCUGGGCACAUUCCCUCUGUCAACCAUGAUUGUAUAGACAUCUGUGAAUCUACUGCCCUCUCUUCUCUAGGCCAAAUGGUCCACCUGCGCCUGAUAUGAAAGACCUUUCAUUGCUACAGUCACUCUUGCUGCCUUCCCAUUUCUCCUGGUUCUGCUGUACUUCUUAAAAGGGCAGGCCAGGUAAAGAAAGUACUGUCUGCCUCAAGUUUUAUGGGCUGUUUCUUGCUUUUUUUCCUAAUAAUUACUAACAAUGUUUUGGCCAUUACUGAGAAAUCAACUUCUGUUCUUACAAAAUGAUCUACUGGGCUGCUAUCUUAUUUACUCAGUGUUAAACCCAGGCUCAGAGGUCAAUACUGUAAUGUUUCCAAACUUCACCUCUCCCUCGGAAAGUGUGAAUUUGAUCGACAAUAAUUUCACCUGCCUCUGUGUCAUCUACAUGCACGUCAUCUCUUAGUCAUCAUCUACUACACUAACACUGACCAAACUGCUCAUUUCCUUGAAUAACUUUUCUUAUUUUUACCAGUAGUAUACAUCUGUUGUUCCCUUUCAGUAGAAUAAACAAUAAUUUGGUUUGCUUUUUUUUUCCCCCUUAGCAUUCAGUCUGUUAUCAAAUUAAUGAACAAAUCUUUUGUCUUCAGUCAUUUUUUUUUUUAAGGCCUACUGUGGAGUGGCCCGGUGACGUUAAACAGAUUAUCUUGUUCCAUGUUGAGUGAGUCAAGAAAACUACUGUGCAGCAGAAAGAAAGGAAAAACAAUCACUGAAUGAAGACAUCAAUGUUUCCAGGAACUGGAACUUUACAAGCUCUUGUCUACCAACUCUCAGUGCCUCCAGUAACAUUCCGUCAGCAGGUGCUGUGACAUCAGCCCCUCUCUACUGUUUUGCCAUACUGGACCAUGCAGAAAAAUACGUGGUUUUAAGAAACGUUAUUUGAGGGAUUGGAAGUCCAUGUACUUACCCACUUUGAGUAGGAACUAGUCAGAGAAGGGGCUUGGAGUUGCUCCAAUUUCCACUAAUGCUUGUAGUUUCAGCAGAACCUUUACAAAAUGGCUGUGGCACACAGAUGCAGCAUGUUGCUUUAGAAUGGAUAAAAAUGAACCAGGGCUUCAGGCUAAAUAAUGCGUUGUUCAAUGCUUACUGACGGAAGAAGACAGCACACAGUUUGACAGAAUUUGAAAGAAAAAAAUGAGGACUUUGGAGGUUGUCUGAGCUCACUGUCAGACAGGUUAACAUAUCCUAGAAUUCAUACGAAGGAUGUACAAAUGUAAAUCAGAUGUAAGUUGAAAAUGAAAUACACAGAAGAGGUGUACUUAGAUCUUCACACAGGAGAGAAAUUACAAUACUGUUAGGCUUGACAGAGAGAGACAAGUGGAUAAGGAAGUGAGCAUUAUGGCUCUGCCAGCAUGUAGCAGACACGUCAGGAAGAAAAGAUUUUAAAUAUUUUGCAUACUGAAAUUCCUUUCUUCAUGUUUCACCCACUCAUAGGUUUCACACUGCUCUACUGAUGUCUUUUAAAUCCAAAAGAAAAUAUAACAUAAAAAGAAUAUUUUAUGUCCUUAUAAUUUUGACAACCAGGUUAAUAAAUUGAGGUACAAAAUCAUGUUUGUGUAUUUUAAAGACAGACAUUUCUUUCUGUAUCAUGGUGCCAUCUAGUGGAAAUAGACAUUUAUAGAGAAGAGGUAUCUCUAGCAUUGACAGAUUACAAUAUGUCGAGUACUGAUAUUCACUGC